UACAGAGGGUGCGAGCGUUAAUCGGAAUUACUGGGCGUAAAGCGCACGUAGGCGGCUUGGUAUGUCGGGUGUGAAAUCCCCGGGCUCAACCUUGGAACUGCAUCCGAAACUGCCUUGCUAGAGUAUGGGAGAGGGAAGUGGAAUUUCCGGUGUAGCGGUGAAAUGCGUAGAUAUCAGGAGGAACACCUGUGGUGUAGACAGCUUACUGGACCACGACUGACGCUGAGACACGAAAGCGUGGGUAGCAAACAGG
RNAcentral lists this ribosomal RNA (253 nucleotides) under uncultured bacterium. RNAcentral's name for it is "partial 16S ribosomal RNA". It matches the Rfam family "Bacterial small subunit ribosomal RNA", at positions 524 to 776 of the family's 1533-position model. The record is from RNAcentral.